AGCCCAUCGCUCCUUAUUUACC
Molecule: transfer RNA, 22 nt
Filed under: Cercopithecus petaurista buettikoferi
Lineage: Eukaryota; Metazoa; Chordata; Mammalia; Primates; Cercopithecidae
Description: partial tRNA-His
Source: RNAcentral